This 9877-nucleotide long non-coding RNA is filed under the name Cucumis sativus (cucumber). RNAcentral's name for it is "long non-coding RNA (CSAT_LNC000265)". The record is from RNAcentral. Lineage: Eukaryota; Viridiplantae; Streptophyta; Magnoliopsida; Cucurbitales; Cucurbitaceae.
GAUUCCUUUUCUCAAACUAUAACUUUUCUUUCCUUUAUUAGGGUUUUAUCAAUCCGUUUCAUUGCAUCCGAUACUCCAAGGGCAUUCUAGAUCAAUUCUUUUAAGACCAUCUAUAAUAUAAUCCAGUUACUUUGUUUGUGUUUUUGGCUUACAUAAUUUAAAUAGGAAAUCCGUCAUUCUUCGUUGCUCUUUGUUGGUUGUCAUCCAAUACUUGACAAGGCUUCUAAUUCGAGUAUGACUGAAUCAUUUCUGUUAUGUUUGCUCAGGGAAAACAACGUUUGUGAAAAGACAUCUCACAGGGGAGUUCGAAAAGAAAUACGAACGUAAGAAUUGUUGCUAUCCCCACAAUUUUUUUUGGAUUAUUCAUUGUUUGGAAUAGGGUUUUAGUUAAAAUUAAUAAACAACUCUUAAGUAUGGGUUUGGCUUUCUGUUGUUUCUUAUGAAAUUAGCAACCAUUGGCGUGGAAGUGCACCCUUUAGACUUCUUCACAAACUGUGGAAAAAUUAGAUUUUACUGCUGGGACACUGCUGGGCAGGAGAAGUUCGGUGGUCUACGAGAUGGCUACUAGUAAGUUCAUAAAUGAGGCCUUCUAUUCUUUCGUAUGUUAUGCUCCCGAGUUUAAAUAUUCCCGGUUGUACUUCGUUGUUGCUCUAGCACAUUUUCCUCAUUUCUGUAGGGAGCUUGUUUCCCUCCUGCAACAAUGUUAAAUUUUCUAUUUUCUUUUUGUACAUUUAUUUGAUCUGAUAGAUUAUUUUAUCUUUACAAUCUUGUUAUCCCUUGGUAGUAUUUUUACGAUGGUCCUUUAUUUCUGUUAAGGACUGUUCUGAUUUCAAUUUCCUCCUACUGAUGAAGUUCCUUAUUUUGUGUCUUAAUUCAUGAUUGCAGCAUCCAUGGGCAAUGUGCAAUCAUCAUGUUUGAUGUUACUGCUAGAUUGACAUACAAAAACGUCCCUACAUGGCAUCGUGAUCUUUGCAGGUAAUCUAACAUUUGUUUGUAGGAAACUGAAUUGUUGCAACGUCAGGGCACUCUUCUUCAAGCUGCCUGCCAUCUGAUGACUUAUUAACCUGCAGGGUGUGUGAGAAUAUUCCAAUUGUUCUUUGUGGAAACAAGGUGGAUGUGAAAAACAGGCAGGUUAAGGCCAAACAAGUCACGUUCCACAGGAAGAAGAACCUACAGUACUAUGAAAUUUCUGCAAAGAGUAACUACAACUUUGAAAAACCAUUCCUCUACUUGGCCAGGAAGUUAGCUGGGUAAAUCCAUUUCCUGGUUUAGGUUGUGUUAGUUUUUUCUUUAAUUUGGAACAUUCAUGACGAUGGACUUCAUUUUCUUAUGGUGAUUCAGGGAUCCCAACAUUCAUUUUGUGGAGUCUCCAGCUCUGGCUCCUCCUGAAGUACAAAUUGACUUGGCUGUCCAGCAACAGUGAGACAUCCUCAUCCUAAGUCAUUACUAAGGAAACCAUUCACAUUCUUUGGUGUAACCCAUAUCUAUAUGUUGUUUGUUUUCUGCAGGCAUGAAGCUGAAUUGGUAGCAGCUGCCAGUCAACCUCUUCCCGAUGACGACGAUGAUGCUUUUGAUUAAGACUGGUCGAUCAUCUGAUGACGUUGCCCUCUGCAUAUCUAUUUUAAGUGAGGUUUUUUUCUUCUUGCUAUGAUUAACAGAAGGGAAUAGCUGCGCAGGGUAUGGCUGAGGAUUGAAACUUGAUAUUUUGAAAACGUUAGUUUUCUGCCCCCUGGAUAAGAGAAAUUUGUUGUGAUGUAGAUGGUGUGUUUUCUGUUGGUGAGAUUCACUAUCGAUUGUAGUAGAGCCACAUGGCAUUUGUUGAAAGUUCAUCAUGCAGAAAAUUUUCUAACGAGUGUUGCACUAUUUGAUUUGUGUUCAUUGUUCCUUUGUCUUCUCUGGGGUUGUCAUUUGUUUUUCAGAAAAAAUGGGUUUGGUGAGGUGUUGAAGAUACAUAAUGGUUAUCAAUACUUUAGGAACUCGGUUUAUGGUUGACGAUGAGAUAAAAUAGGAUGAUUAGUGGGUUUUUUAUUUUUCUGUGGAUUCUGGGUGAAAUUAAAGAAGAAGCUAAUAGAUCCAAAAUCUUAUAAAAUAUGAGCUAUGCAAGUGAUGGAAUGGGUUUACUUUUUAUUGUUAGGAGUUGUAUUGAAUGUCAUAAUCGUCUUCUAAUCAAAUCUAUGCACUUAUGUUUAUGGGGAACAAAUCUUAAACAUGUCAAACCAACAUCAAAAUACAUUGGUGUUUUGAAAAACAAUGUAACAAAGAAGUUAUUCGUGUUUAGUUAAUGAACCACGUAGGUUUUAGUUUUGUUUCAAUUUAGUAAAUUUGGAUUAUUUCAUUUGAUUUUGAGUUGAGCUUAGAGGUAAAAUAUCAAUUUUUUUACAAGAUCCAGUAGUUCUAUGUUUCCAUUCUCAUUGAAACCCAAUGUAGGCAAGCUUUUGUUGUAGCUUUGUGUAAUUGAAUGAGAUAUCCAUUUGAGAGAAAAAACAUUGAGUGAAAAGGGAGGAUGAGGAAGAGAAAAGAUGGAGGGAAAGAUAGGAGAGAGGGAAACAUAUGUGAGAUGAGAUAAUCUUAUUCUUAUUUUACAAGAAAUACUUGUGCAUUUUAGAUCGUACUCAUUCUUAUGUUUCUUUUCAAAUCUAAUGUGCCACAUGGGUAGUUAUAAUUGAAUAUUGGUAGGUUGAGUGAUGUGUAUGAUAUGCACCAAAAUAUUUUCUUUUAGAAUUACUGAUUUUGAAAUGUCAAUCAUAAUUUAAUUAAAGUAAUAAAUACUAACUUAAAAGCAAAGAGAUAAUUGCAGCUAUCAAUAAAUUGUAAAAUCAUAAUUGCAACCAUGAACAAAUUGCAAGGGCAUAAUUAUAACCUUAGUUUAUGGUGGUUAAUGCAAAUUUUUCUUAGAUUUAGUUAAAGUUCCAACUAAAAGUAUGAUGUUAACCUCAUGUGAUACGAUUUGAUUUGGGAUCAAAUCCAUUUUUUACCUCUUGCAUCCGCAUUUCUUUUAAUGAAUCUAAUUGGUUUUUAUUCUUUCUUAGUGUUCAACUAAUUCUUCUUCGCCUCAAUUUACAAUUCUUUUUUUUGGAGAAUGAAGGUGUGGAACCGAGAGUUGAGAUACGAGAACAUUUCUAGUUAUACAAAAGCAUAUCGAGAAGGAUUUCUAACUAUAAAAAAAGCAUCCUGAGAAAAAUUUGGGAGUUGAACAGUUUUGGAAAAGUUUUUUUUUGAAAAUAAAGAGUUUUAAGAUAAAUGAGGCAGUGACGUAUUCAAAUUACCUCUAGUAAAAAGAAACCCUAAGAUGUUGGUUCCUUCCCUCCGGUAUCCUCCAUCUUUGCGAUUCCCAUAUUCUCUCACGCCAUAGUUGAUUUAACAAACGAUGAUGACGAGGCUUUGGACGGAGGCAGCAUAACAUAUUGAUUUUGGCAGCAACUUUGGCCGCGAGUGAGGCAAAGUUAUUUAUAGCGACUACUUGACAGGGAGCAACAAUCAACCUGAGCGAAGUUUAGCAACUUCUUUGUCCUUGUAGUAAAGUUUGUAGAACAAUUUCUUGUAUUUUUUUAAAUUUUAAUUUGAGAAACAUUUUCCAUUCUCUCUUGCACACUCUUUUUUUGUGGAGAAGAAAAGAAAAGACAAACAUGUUAAAACACUCCAAUUUGAACAUUACAAUUUGGAGAGAUCACUCUAAAUAACGAUGUAUAUUACAACUUUUGAAUUUGAGAGAUAUCUCACCGAGAUAAAAAGCAAUAGCUAAAAACUUUAUAAAACAUGUAUAAAAUCAUCCUAGAUCACCUAAAACAAGUAUAUAAUUGAUUUGAAAUUGAGUAUAUCAAGUUUUGAAGUUGCGAAAUACUUAUGAAAUGUUUGCAAGAUGUUCUUGAGAUAAAAAAACAAUAGCUACAAACAUAAAACAUGUGUAAAAUAACCGCAAGUUACUAAAAACAAAUACAUAAUUGAUUUGGAGUUGGGUACUUUAACUUUAAGUUGAGAGAUAAAAAAACAUUACUAUAAACUCCAUAAACAUAUGUAAAAUUACCCUAAAUUACCUAAAAUAAGUAUGCGAUUGAUUUGGAGUUUAAGUAUUUCAACUUUUGAAAUUGUUAGAUGCCUACAAGAUGUUUGUGAUAUAAAAGAUAAGCACAAAACUCUAUAAAACAUGUGUAAAAGCACUUGACACAAGUAUAAGAUUGAUUUGUGAGAUAUUUGUAAGAUGCUUUCAAUAUAAAAGAUAAUAGCUAAAGAAGGCCGCCAUAGAACAUGUGAAAAAUCACCCUAAAUUACCCCAAACAAAUAACAAAUAUAGAAUUACAAGCCAAACAUCCCUAAUAAAAAUGAUAAUCACCCGAUAACAUAUAUUUAUUCCAAGGAUAUGACAAAUAACAAUACAACUUACUUUGAAAGGAGAUUUGGGUAAAUAUCCGCGAAAGUUUAGAAAUGAAAGGUAUCAAUGGAAUUUUUAAGUUAAGAAAUACUAACGAAACGAGAAACAACGUUAUCAUGAGGUUGUGAGCAACCUAUAAGAUAUAUAGAAAAUCGAAAAUGAGUUUGAAAGAUAUGAAGACAUCUAUUUUAUGAUGACAUUUAACGACAUAUUUGAGAAGGGGCAGGGGUACAUGCCUCCUCACAUUCUUGGUUUUCGUAUUUUAAUAUUAAUUUUGAAGUUUAAAAUACAAUAUAUAUUAAAUAGUGUUUCUCUAAAAGUAAAUUUGGUUUAUGGUGUAGUGGUUGUGCCCUCCUUUAUAUUCUAACAUCCUGAAUUCGAAUCAUAUCUCUUGCAAUUAUUCCAUGAAGAAGAUACUAUUUUUAUUUUUUUGAUGCAAUAUUUAAAUUUACAUAUUUACUUUACUUUUACUUAUGUAUAUAUUUCAAAACAUGAAAACUCGUAGAGGAUAAUUGUAAUACGUAUUAAAUUAUACUUAAUAUUUUUUUAGUAUGUUUGUUAUAUAGCGUUCCUAUAUAAAAUUUUUGGAUCUACGACCGGUGACAUUGUGCUAUUAUAAAAUGUAAUGAUAUUUAUUCAUCAACUAUUCACCUCAAUAUAAGAAUUAAUACGUGUUAAUAAUAAUGAAAUUUCUUUCCCUCCCAUUCUAUUAUAAAAAUGCAAUGUCAUUUUGGAGUCCAAUGGACGUUGUUCCCCCAAAAGAUAACCCCAAAGAUGAAGAAAUGGAGAAAAUGAGUACACAAAUCAAUAAGUGGAACACUCAGAGAAAUUUCAUAACAAACUUUCAUCAAAGACCAUAUGGCUCUAAUCACUAAUCGAUAGAGAAGGUCACCAACAGAAACAAUCCAUCUACACCACAAUUUUUCAUUCAUCCCAGGGGAAAAAUCAACAUUUUCAUAAUUCAAGUUUCAAUCCUCAGCCACACUCUCCCCACCUAUUCCCUUCUAUUAAUCAUCCUAGCAAGGAGAGAGCAUCUUACUCAGAGGGCGACAGUAGGAAAUAGAUAAGCAAACAGCAUCAUCACCAAAUGGUCGAUCAUUUAUACUUGAAAGCAUCAUCGUGGUCACCGAGAAGAGGUUGACUUGCUGCUGCUGCUAAUUCAACUUCAUGUCUGCAGAAAUAAGCAACAUAUAGAUAUGGAUUUAGAAUGAGGAUGAUUUCGUUAUUAAUGACUUAGGAUUCAAAAGUCUCACUGUUGCUGGGCAGCCAAGUGAAUUUGUUGUUCUGGAGGAGCAAGAGCAGGAGAUUCAACAAAAUGAAUGUUAGGAUCCCUGAACCACCAUAAGAAAAUGAAAUCCAUCGUCAUGAAUGUUCCAAAUUAAAGAAAAAAAACUAACACAAAGUAAACCAGGAAAUGGAUUUGUAGUUACUCUUUGCAGAAAUUUCAUAGUACUAUAGGUUCUUCCUGUGGAAUGUGACUUGCUUGGCCUUAACAUGCAUGUUUUUUACAUCCACCUUGUUUCCACUAACAACAAUUGGAAUAUUCUCACACCCUGAGAGUUAUUAAGUUGACAAUUGUUCUUACAACAAAUGAUAAAUUAUUACCUGCAAAGAUCACGAUGCCACGUGGGAACAUUUCUAUAUGCCAAUUUGGUAGUAACGUCAAACAUGAUGAUUGCGCAUUGCCUGUGGAUGCUGCAACCAUCUAUAAAGAUGCGUCUUUAGGAUUAGGGUAAUUGAAAUCAGAACAGAAAUGAAAGUCCAUCACGAAAAAAACAAAAACAAUCUAACAAAUCAAGUGUGCUAGAGAAUAUUGAAAUUUCAACAAUAGUGUUCAGAAUAAAAAGUGAAGGCCAAGUUAAUUAUGAGGGAAAAUGAUAAUUGAAACAAACUCCCUUCAGGUAAGAGGAAAUAGUGCAAUAGAGUAUUUAAUGGGAAAGAAAGAAGUUUGUAAGGAUAAAAACACAUCCUGAAAAAAUAAACUGACUAAUUCAUUAACUUACUAGUAGCCAUCACGUAAACCACCAAAUUUCUCCUGCCCAGCAGUGUCCCAACAGUAAAAUCUAAUUUUUCCACAGUUUGUGAAGAAGUCCAAUGGGUGAACCUCCACACCAAUGGUCGCUAAAAGUUCAAAGAAACAGAACAAAUUCAUAACUAUAAGGUGUUUGUUCAUUUUAACUAAAAUCCUAAGAGUGAACAAACCACAAAAUGGAGAAAUUUUGCAAUAUUUCUUACGUUCCUAUUUCUUUUCCAACUCCCUUGUGAGAUGUCUUUUCACAAAAGUUGUUUUUCCUAAGCAACAAAAACCUAACCAAUUCACUUAUACUUUUAAUUUCAAGUAUUAUAUGAAUCCAUCUUAACAAACAAAGAUCAUUCAAAACAAACCAAUAAAAUUAAUCAAUAUGUCCGUUUGAAUUGACUUUACAAGUGUUUAUUAACAUAUUUUUUUUGCAUUUAUAAACCCUUAAUUAGACAUUUAGAAAGUCAAUCCAAACACACUCUACGUAGAUUUACAAAACCUAUUAUUCUAAUGGAUGAAUCCCUUUUUUGUUCUUUCUUCCUUUCAUACUACCCUUAUAACAUUGGAACUCCGAAACAAUGUCAUGAUUUUCAAGUUUUUAGAGCGAACCAAACAAACAACGACCAAAAGAGGGAAAUCUUCAUGUUCAAGCAACCUCACCCAAAAAGAUAAAGAAGUUCAAGUGGCUUAUAAAAGAUAUUAAAACAAUAAAUCUUUGAGUAAAGGAAAUUAGAAACUCAACUUCUCCCUUAAAUCCUAUGUGUGGUUUUUAUUGAAUAUUUGUAUAUUCCAUUGAUAUUUUAUAGAAAUACAUGUUUAGUACCAUAAUAAGGUACCAAUCUUAUUCUUAUACUAUAAACUCUUUAAGUUGAUCUCGAACAUUGAUUCUCGUAUGUCUCUACAUAUUUUUUAAGAUCCGUCAAACAACCUAAGAUAUUAGUUGACUGAAUUUGGGUUAUUAAGACAAAACUAAUAAUAUAAUCAAUAAUAAUUAUUACAAUAAUAACACUUUAUUAAUAACAGUCAAUAGAUUAGAUUUACAAUUUACGAGUUUUAGGAUAUAAAUCACAACAAAAGCAUGCUGAAAGAACUCGUGUUGGUUUGUGAAGACAACUUUCACUCUACUCUACUAAGCCUUUAGGACAUGAAAAGAUGAUAUUGUCAGAUUGUAGGGAUGCACGGGAAUGUUGUGUAUCUAAAUUCCAAAAUUUGGGGCCUCAUUUGCUUGGUAGACUUAAGCUUAUUAUUUCUCUAGCCCAGUUUUUUCAUUAGAGCCUUGAAUUUGGUUGGAUAGGAGAAAACUUAAUUAUUCAAACUCAAUCAAAUUAUAAUUAUCACAAUGUUUGUUGGGAUGGUGUGGCAGAAAUUAAUUGGUCGAAAUUUCUUGCUGAACAAGGGUGUUUAUUGCAUGUUAAUUUCUAAUAGGAUUAGAUGUAAUUAGAGUAAAUUAGAUCUGUUUUCUUCUGCACAUGUCUACCAUUUCCAUAAAGAACAAUAUCAAAAUUAUGAAAGUACAAUAAUCAAUAAAAUGCAAUAGAAAAGAUGCACAAAUUGAUAGAAUAGAAGAAGAUUAAAGUAAAAGUAUGAAGAUUGUUGAAGAUAUUCAAGUGGGUUACAUUUUAAAAGACUCUGUGAGGCCUCAAAUGUCACGAUGAUUAUAAGAUUUGGUCUUUUGUUUAUUGUUGUUUUGGACAAUGGAAUUGACUUUUUAAAUAAAUUGUUUAGUUUUAAGUUGAGAAAUAUUAGAUGAACUGCUUAUCUUUUUUUCUUUUCUAAAAAAAAAAAAUGUCAGCACAAAAAUAGAUAUGUUGAAUUAUGUGUUACAUACGUCAUCACAUAAACAAAUACGCAAAAUCACAUAUCACAUAUAUUUGAGAAGUAUUUGUAUCUAAUAGAGAUUGUUUUUGUCUCACAAAAAGUAUUUGUGCUUCGAAGAUUGGGAAUGACCUAAAGAUCAAGUGGUCAACUAUACCGUGUAAUUGCAUCAUGGAUGCUUUAUGAAAAUUAAGGGAUUUAAUAUUCAAAGUCUUCACUUGUUACAUGUUUAUGUUCUAUGGUUUAAAUUUUGGAGUCAAGAUAAGUUAUCUUUUAUUAUAUAUAAUUUAUUUUCAAUUCAUUGAAAAUUUUAAAAAUUGAAAGUUCAAAAUAACAAGGUUAGAAAUACAUUAGAUUGAUGUCAAGUUUUAGCGGAGAAAAUACCUAACAUUCGAUUGACUUUAAUGAUAAAUUUGUAAUUUAGAGAACAUAUGUUCUACAAAUCAAAUAAAAAAGGAUUUGAUGCUUAAGUUAGGAAGAGAAUUAUAUAAUGGAAAAUCAAUAAGAACUUUUUAGCUACCUUCUUCUAUGAUCACAUCACCUAUUUUAUUGUAUUAUUCUACUCCUAAUCCUUAUCGGAAUAGGAAUUCCUCAUUGUUCUUUAUCCUAGGAUCUCAAACUAUUUUUUGGUUUGACCACAAUCGGGGAUAGACCGAGUUGUCCAACACAAGUUUCUUUAAAAUCUUUAUUGGCUCAUAAUCAACUUAGAACCCAUAUUGCUACUGCUCUUGGACUCGAGCUCGAUUUGGGUUGAGGACGAGCCGGAUGAGGUGGUAAUCUAACCGUGAGUCGUGAGAUACGAAAACAUACAAAAUUCGUUCAUUAAAUUUUAAAAAAGGAAUCUAUUAAAAUGGUUUGAGGGUAAGAAAAGAGAAGAGUGUAAAACGAGCGCUCAAAAUUCAAAAAAAAAAAAAAAGAAAGAAAGACUCUCUCACGAAACAGAAAAAAGAACGAUGGAGAGUGAUCCCACACUGCGGAUCCAACGGUCAGAAUAAUAGCUUCAUUUGAAAGCCAAACUACGCCCUUUCCCUAUAAACCCUCUCCUCUUCCUCUUCCUCUUCCUCUUCCUCUUCCACUCUCAAACCCCCCCUUUCUUUUAACCUAAUUCUCCAUCGCCGAUUUCUUCAUUUCCAAUUCGACGCUUUCCCAUGGUGAUACCUCUUUACUCUCUCACCUCCACCCACUCCUUACGCUUUCUCACUCUUUCUCACUCUUUCUUCUUUCUAUUUCCCAGGCUUUGCCCGACCAGAAGACUGUUGAUUAUCCUAGUUUCAAGCUCGUCAUUGUUGGUGAUGGCGGCACUGGUAUGUUCUUUCCUUCCUGCCUCCCACUCGUAGUAUUCUCUUCCAAUUCCAGACUCAAGAACAAACCGUAAAGCUUUCAAAUCGUGCCUUAAUGCCGUUGAUUUCAACCAAGAUUGAUGCGGGAUUGGAUUCCUUUUCUCAAACUAUAACUUUUCUUUCCUUUAUUAGGGUUUUAUCAAUCCGUUUCAUUGCAUCCGAUACUCCAAGGGCAUUCUAGAUCAAUUCUUUUAAGACCAUCUAUAAUAUAAUCCAGUUACUUUGUUUGUGUUUUUGGCUUACAUAAUUUAAAUAGGAAAUCCGUCAUUCUUCGUUGCUCUUUGUUGGUUGUCAUCCAAUACUUGACAAGGCUUCUAAUUCGAGUAUGACUGA